Molecule: ribosomal RNA, 253 nt
Filed under: uncultured bacterium
Lineage: Bacteria
Description: partial 16S ribosomal RNA
Rfam family: Bacterial small subunit ribosomal RNA
Source: RNAcentral
UACGUAGGGUGCAAGCGUUAAUCGGAAUUACUGGGCGUAAAGCGUGCGCAGGCGGCUUUGCAAGACAGAUGUGAAAUCCCCAGGCUUAACCUGGGAACUGCAUCCGAUACUGGAUGGCUUGAAUCCGGGAGAGGGAUGCAGAAUUCCAGGUGUAGCGGUGAAAUGCGUAGAUAUCUGGAGGAAUACCGGUGGCGAAGGCGGCAUCCUGGACCGGCAUUGACGCUGAGGAGCGAAAGCUAGGGGAGCAAACGGG